This 832-nucleotide non-coding RNA is filed under the name Charybdis bimaculata. Lineage: Eukaryota; Metazoa; Arthropoda; Malacostraca; Decapoda; Portunidae. The record is from RNAcentral.
AUAAAGUUUGAUUUUUUCUUUAAUUCUUGUGAUAAGCAUUGAAGUUGUAUGAAGGUUAAGGCAAGCGGUAAUAUAAAUUUAAAAUGAAUAUUAAAUAAUAAAUAAUCAUGUUAUACGUCAUAAAUUCUCAGCAUAUAAUAUUAAACAAUUUAAUAAAUUAAGAUUUAGCAAUACGUUUAAGCUUGAUUAAUAUUGUGCCAGCAGUCGCGGUUAUACUCUAAAGCUAAACAAGAAGUAUUGGCUUAUUGUUAGACGAAAUACUACAUUGAUAUAAAGUCUAAGAGAAUAAAAAAGUGAAAUUAAAGUUUCUUUUUAUAGAACUAUGGAUAAUAAUCAAUAAAAGUUGAAGCAAUAAAAUACUGGAGUUAAACUAGGAUUAGAUACCCUAUUAUACCAGAGAAUAAUUAAUAUAAGCCUAAUUAGUAAUAGCUAUAUUCUAUAAAUUUGAAAAAUUUGGCGGUGAUUUAGUCUAGUCAGAGGAACUUGUUUUUGAAUCGAUAAACCACGAAAUAUCUUGCUCAAUCUUGUAUAGUAUGUAUACCGUCAUUAUUAGAUAAUUUUUACAGAAAAAAUUAUUAUAGUUUGUUAAUAAUGUUAAAUAUAUUAGAUCAAGGUGCAGCUUAUGAUUGAGUUAAAAUGAGUUACAAUAAGAUUUAUUUAUUACGGACAUGUAAUUUAAAUAUUGCUUAGAAGGAGGAUUUGAUUGUAAGGUGAAUUUAAUACGUUUAUCAGAUAUAAGCUCUAAAUCAUGUACAUAUCGCCCGUCGCUUUCAUUUUAAAAUGAGAUAAGUCGUAACAUAGUAGACUUACUGGAAAGUGAGUCUGGAUAGGA